RNAcentral lists this ribosomal RNA (445 nucleotides) under uncultured bacterium. RNAcentral's name for it is "partial 16S ribosomal RNA". It matches the Rfam family "Bacterial small subunit ribosomal RNA", at positions 330 to 793 of the family's 1533-position model. The record is from RNAcentral.
UCCAGACUCCUACGGGAGGCAGCAGUGGGGAAUAUUGCACAAUGGGGGGAACCCUGAUGCAGCGACGCCGCGUGGGUGAAGGAGCACCUCGGUGCGUAAAGCCCUAUCGGCAGGGAAGAAACAGACGGUACCUGACUAAGAAGCCCCGGCUAACUACGUGCCAGCAGCCGCGGUAAUACGUAGGGGCAAGCGUUAUCCGGAUUUACUGGGUGUAAAGGGAGCGUAGACGGCUGCGCAAGUCUGAAGUGAAAGCCCGGGGCUCAACCCCGGGACUGCUUUGGAAACUGUGUAGCUAGAGUGCUGGAGAGGCAAGCGGAAUUCCUAGUGUAGCGGUGAAAUGCGUAGAUAUUAGGAAGAACUCCAGUGGCGAAGGCGGCUUGCUGGACAGUAACUGACGUUGAGGCUCGAAAGCGUGGGGAGCAAACAGGAUUAGAUACCCCUGUAA